Molecule: ribosomal RNA, 492 nt
Filed under: uncultured bacterium
Lineage: Bacteria
Description: partial 16S ribosomal RNA
Rfam family: Bacterial small subunit ribosomal RNA
Source: RNAcentral
AGUGAGCGCUGGCGGUAGGCCUAACACAUGCAAGUCGAACGGCAGCACGGUAAGAGCUUGCUCUUACGGGUGGCGAGUGGCGGACGGGUGAGGAAUACAUCGGAAUCUACUUUUUCGUGGGGGAUAACGUAGGGAAACUUACGCUAAUACCGCAUACGACCUACGGGUGAAAGCAGGGGAUCUUCGGACCUUGCGCGAUUGAAUGAGCCGAUGUCGGAUUAGCUAGUUGGCGGGGUAAAGGCCCACCAAGGCGACGAUCCGUAGCUGGUCUGAGAGGAUGAUCAGCCACACUGGAACUGAGACACGGUCCAGACUCCUACGGGAGGCAGCAGUGGGGAAUAUUGGACAAUGGGCGCAAGCCUGAUCCAGCCAUACCGCGUGGGUGAAGAAGGCCUUCGGGUUGUAAAGCCCUUUUGUUGGGAAAGAAAAGCAGCAGGUUAAUACCCCGCUGUUCUGACGGUACCCAAAGAAUAAGCACCGGCUAACUUCGUG